Molecule: long non-coding RNA, 4451 nt
Filed under: Vigna radiata
Lineage: Eukaryota; Viridiplantae; Streptophyta; Magnoliopsida; Fabales; Fabaceae
Description: long non-coding RNA (VRAD_LNC010110)
Source: RNAcentral
AAAAUAUUUAUCUGCCCCCCGCACCUCAUUUCUUCUGCCAUAAUCAUUUCCUAAAUAUCAUAAGCUUAUUUUCUCUACCUUCACCCUCAAACCUUCUCUCUCUGCCUUCGUCCUCAAACCCUAUUUUCUCGCUCAUUGCCUUCGUUUCCUCGCUCCCCUAAAACUUCACGAGAAUCAUUUUCCCCCAAAUUUCCUGCACCAUCUUCGUGUUGUUCUUCCUUGUUUGGGCUGAGAAUUUUGUUCGUCGUCGAGGCUUCGAGGCAUCGUGGUGCUUUCUUAGCAUUUGUGCAUCAAUUGUUUCAGUGCUAUUAGAUCCCUUUCUCACAGCUUCCAUUUGCAAUUCAGGUUCUCUUUGAUCGGUAAGCUUCUCCUUCUUCCUUUUCUCUCUAAUCCUAUUCACUUCCUUUUAAUUUUGAACAUGCUUUUACUCGCUCUCUCUUUGUAGGGCUUUUCUUGCUCCUUAGAUUCCCAAUUCUAGUCACGUCUUGCUAGAUCAGAGGGGAAUUUCGGAAAAUAUUCCAAUUUCGCGUUUGGUUUCGGCUUUCUCAACUCAGAUGCGGGGUUCGGUGAGUCUUAGGGAUGAAUUAACUGAAUCACCUCGUUUCUAGCUGUGAGUUUUAAUUUCUUCUUCUUCCUCGAACCUGCCUCUGCUUCUUUUUCGUUUUUCUGUUUCUUUCCUUUCUCAACUGAUGAACUGUAGUGUGGAUCUGUAAUUUUGCUUUUUCCUGUUUCUUGUUUUAGUUGAGACUUCCUUUUUGAUUCUCUUGUCGCUGGAGUGAAAUUCAAGCUUCGAUGUGGGUUUUAUGUUGUUAUUGCUUUGUGUCUGCAUGUUGUGUGUUUCCGGAUUUCAACCGACCAGCCAAUUAAUCCUAGUGUUUUGAAAACGAGGGAUGGUUGAGAUUAGAGAGUUUGUGUGGGAUGCAUUCUUUUCUAGAUGUUAUGCAUUCUUUUCUAGAUGUUUCAGCAUUCUGCCGACUAUUUUGGCAAAUCGUUGCAGUGAUUCUGUUAAUGACUACGAGUUUUGCAUCUUCUUUUCUUUUUAGAGGCGAGGAUUUGGACUUAGAAAAUUUGUCAGCGAAAUCUGGUGCAAUAGGGGCUAAGGUUUGUUGUCCUUUGUUGGUCAUCAUGGUGCAUGCACCCUCCACAGAGGGCAAAGCAGUGGCACCUCCUUAUAGCUGUUGAUUAGCCUGUCUGCUUUCUGGUAAAUGGAUAGGAUUAUCUUGUUAUUUUAUCAUUUUUUCCCUCAAUAAUAUGUCCUUUCCAAUACUUUCAUCAUUCAAUCAUUGUUUAGAGAAUUUCCGUAUUCAUUUUGCUCUCUAUGUGCUGACCAAGGUAACUUGUUUUGCUAACAAUACAUCGAUGCUUUGUUCGGUGCCAAGUUUUAUUGUCUGAACUGUUUUUUUUUUUUUGUCUACUUGAGUAUUAAAACUCUAAUUUCUGUUCAGCGUAUUCAAUUUGUUGUUUUGCCAUAAUACACUUUGCCACCACAUAACCUAGUAUAUGGUACAAACAAAUGUUUUGUAGUUAAAGUGAUUCUUAGGUUGGCAUUAAGUUUGGAUCGUGUUGUUUUAACAUACGGUGCCUUAUAUUGUAGCUGUAAAACCUGUGCAAUAUAUCUUCACUUAAAACAGAUUAUAUUGUAGCUGUAAAACAAAAUCCAUUUAAUACUUGUGUUUUUUAGGUAAUUGAAAGUGUUCGGCAAGUUGUAUUAAAGUUUCUUUUCACUAAUGUCCUAACAUGUUAGUAAAAGCUGUAGAGCCAUCUAUUUUACUUGUUGGAGAAUUUUAGAUGGUGAUAUCUGUAUUCUGUGUGAUGAAGGUUGAAAAACAGUUAUUUUCAUAUGUCAUUUUAGACCAAAUUACGCCUUUUACUACUUGGAAUGAGCAUAGAAUCAAGCAAAACUAAAUAAAUGAGUCUGUAGAGAGUCAAAAGCUGUUUUUAGCGAUAUUAUGCUUGUUUUGCAUUAUUUUGUAGCAUUUCUGAGAAAAUGAAGAAUGAAGUUGAAGAUAAAGGUCGUAGACUCAAGAAAAGAGAAGAAAAUUUAAGAUCUGAAGAGUCGACGCACAGCCCGGCAGCAACUUACACCGUCGGGCGGUCCAGGACGAGGAGUAGGCACCUGGUGUUGGCGCUGGGCGGUUUUGAGGGAAACCGCCGGGCGGUAGACCCCUACCGCCGGGCGGUAGUGCGAUUUGUGGGAAACCGCCGAGCGCCACACUUGUUCCGCCGGGCGGUGUCUGCUGGGCUUGUACCUGUUUUCUGUGUUUUUUAUGAUUUGUUUGAGCUUGGGCUUGUUUUAUGUUAUUUUUAUGCCCUAUUUAAAGGCCAUAACGUCUUAGGGUUUGGAUCUUUUGAUGGCUUAGGCACAAAAACACACUUUUCACCCCUUUGGGAUAGAUUUGGAGAUGGUGACAGCUCUCCUUUUCUCCUUUUUAGGGUUUGUAUCUCUUUCAUUCCAUUUUUCAUCUAGUUUCACCAUGACUAUGGUGAACUAAACCCUAUUGUUGUUGGGGGAAACAAUGUAAUCUUUUGAUACUCUCUUUUAUUGAAACUCUUGUUUAUUUAUAUGGUUUCCAUAUGUUUUGAUUGUUAAUUGUUAGGUUCUCAUCUGUGCUUAAUGCCUUUAUCGUUUAACUCAUUCGAUAACUGAUGUUUGUCUUUAUUGAUACGGGGACGUACAGUAAUGUCAUGAACUGGUGAGUAAUUUCUUGAUUAUGCAAUACCACCUAGGGAUAGGGGUAGGACGAUCAAUUGCUUUUAACUUCUGCUCUAUAAUGCUGUAUUAAUUGCUAGGGGAGGCUAGGGAUAGCAAGCCAGAAAUUAGUAUUAGGCUCUUUUCGCCGAGGGAUCGGGUUAAGGGUAGGCUAAGAAAGUUGCAUGACAAUUAAUUAAUCAAGCUUAUAAUUCAAGAGGAGUAAAUAAGAGAGAGCGGAUUGGAUGAAAUUGUAAACCCCCAACAACUCCAUUCAUCCAUCCACUUUUGUGUUUAACCUCAAUUGAUCAAAUUGCAUUCAUUUUUUUUUUUUCUGCACUUUAUAAAAAUCCCAAAAUAUUAUUCUUAUAGUCUUGAUUGGUUAAACAAAAGCACAACAGUUUAGUGUCGUGAGUCUCUUGGAAAAACGAUACUUGAUCUUACCAUUUUUAUUACUUGAACGAUUUGGUACGCUUGCCAAUCCGUUAACACUGUGCUAACCAAGAGGUGCCUUAAACCAAGAGGUGCCUUAUUUUGGCUUGGAAUGAAUGACAUUAAUUAUUAUUUGUAUUUUAACGAGAAUGCUAACAAGUGACCUGAUAGCACUGGUACCUAGUAGUUACGUAUUAAUAAGUAGAAUUUAUUUUAUAUAAGUGUAAAACUAUUGUCAGUAUAGUAUGAACCUUUUAUUUAUUGAUUUCUUCACCCUUAGGUCAGUCAUUUGUUUAAACUAGACAAAUUUUCAAAAUUGAGCUUGGCUUGGAAAAAAAAUUGUCAGUAGAACUUGAUUAUUUUUAUGAUUGAAACUUAGCUAAAAGAUGAAAUAAAUUCGCAUUAAACUAUAAUUUUAUAUUUGUGGAGGUGUCUUGGUGACAUGUUGGUCACGGGCUUGAGUCCAGAAAUAGUCUCUUUCCAUAUUAUACAAGUUAAAGACUAUUUACAUUAUCCUCCCUCACUUUUUGAAGCGAGGAGCCUUUGGCACUAGUAUAUUAGUUGUUAGUAGUAGUAUUCAUAAAGAUGACAUAAGAUUAAAAAGGAAAUCUUUGAUGACGGAAAUGGUGAAUUUUAAGAGAACUUAUAUUUAAAAUUGAAAAGUAUCUUCAAUAUGCAUAUAAAAUAAUAGAACAUGUUUUUAAAUAUGAUUUGGUGGUAAAGGUAUAUUUCUGGUUGCUACUUAGGACCAUCCUAAUCCUAGGGUUACUGCUUUUCCUUAACUAGGGAACUUACCAUGCAACACCUAAACACUAAAACAUCCUCCUUUUAUUAAUUACACCAUAUCAAGUGUGUCUCACAUUGAGAAAUCUUCCUUAUAAUAAUUCUUAUUUUCAAUCUAAACAAAUAAAUUGAAAGGGAGCAACUGGACCAAUUCAAAAAAAUGGCUAAAUAUAUGUUUUUCUUAAACAAAAUACUAGGUUCUAGAAUUCCUGUUGCUAUAUAUAAUUAAUGGAUGCUAUAUCAUUGUUUGCAGGUAUAUGCACAACCACAAAUUGAUAUUCUGCUCUUAGUGGACUCUCAUAUUUCAAGGCUUUACAUUUAUUAAACAGUGAAUUGAGUUGGAGAUCAAUUACAAGUUUCUUGAUUUAAGCUAGACAUAAAAAGUCUGUAUUUUAUAAAUUUAUUUUUAUGACAUUCAAAAAUAUUUUGUUAAUAGUAUUAAAAUGUUUCAUAGAUAGCUUUGUUGAAAUGAAUCUCUUUCUCUUUUCUUGGGAUGGUUUUUAUAAUUUAUUAUUUUGUUUAAAAUGAUUGUUUCUUAUCUUCUUUU